GACGAACGCUGGCGGCGUGCUUAACACAUGCAAGUCGAACGGAAAGGCCCUGCUUUUGUGGGGUGCUCGAGUGGCGAACGGGUGAGUAACACGUGAGUAACCUGCCCUUGACUUUGGGAUAACUUCAGGAAACUGGGGCUAAUACCGGAUAGGAGCUCCUGCUGCAUGGUGGGGGUUGGAAAGUUUCGGCGGUUGGGGAUGGACUCGCGGCUUUUCAGCUUGUUGGUGGGGUAGUGGCUUACCAAGGCUUUGACGGGUAGCCGGCCUGAGAGGGUGACCGGCCACAUUGGGACUGAGAUACGGCCCAGACUCCUACGGGAGGCAGCAGUGGGGAAUAUUGCACAAUGGGCGGAAGCCUGAUGCAGCAACGCCGCGUGCGGGAUGACGGCCUUCGGGUUGCAAACCGCUUUCGCCUGUGACGAAGCGUGAGUGACGGUAAUGGGUAAAGAAGCACCGGCUAACUACGUG
This 468-nucleotide ribosomal RNA is filed under the name uncultured bacterium. Its description in RNAcentral is "partial 16S ribosomal RNA". It matches the Rfam family "Bacterial small subunit ribosomal RNA", at positions 28 to 507 of the family's 1533-position model. The record is from RNAcentral.